AAUAUUGGUCAAUGGACGAAAGUCUGAACCAGCCAUGCCGCGUGCAGGAAGACGGCCCUACGGGUUGUAAACUGCUUUUAUAUAAGAAUAAACCCCCGAACGUGUUCGGGGCUGAAGGUAUUAUAUGAAUAAGCACCGGCUAACUCCGUGCCAGCCGCCGCGGUAAUACGGAGGGUGCAAGCGUUAUCCGGAUUUAUUGGGUUUAAAGGGUGCGUAGGCGGGUCUUUAAGUCAGUGGUGAAAUCUCUCAGCUCAACUGAGAAACUGCCAUUGAUACUGAAGACCUUGAAUUUAGUUGAAGUUGGCGGAAUGAGGCACGUAGCGGUGAAAUGCAUAGAUAUGCCUCAGAACACCGAUCGCGAAGGCAGCUAACUAAACUAACAUUGACGCUGAGGCACGAAAGCGUGGGGAGCAAACAGG
This 419-nucleotide ribosomal RNA is filed under the name uncultured bacterium. Its description in RNAcentral is "bacterial SSU rRNA". It matches the Rfam family "Bacterial small subunit ribosomal RNA", at positions 360 to 776 of the family's 1533-position model. The record is from RNAcentral.